Molecule: long non-coding RNA, 8367 nt
Filed under: Triticum aestivum (bread wheat)
Lineage: Eukaryota; Viridiplantae; Streptophyta; Magnoliopsida; Poales; Poaceae
Description: long non-coding RNA (TAES_LNC016989)
Source: RNAcentral
UUUUUUUAAAAAAGGGUCAAAAACUUAACUUUAGUUUUCUGCAGAAAGCAUUUCAGAGCUACCGAUAUGACAAACUCGGUGACACCAAAGCAGCAACAGAGUCUAAACAUGCAAUUUUGGUCAGACCGAAAUGCAGUUCGGUGACUCCGAGAUGCUAGGAUUUCACAGAGUGAGUGACUUCGGUCACACCGAUUCGUACGCUUCGGUCAGACCGAGUUGUACUUGUGCAAUGGCCUGAGCCAAAUCGGUGAGAUCGAGAUCCUCAGAUUGGUCAGUCCGAGAUGAGUUCGGCGGAAACCUAACCCUAAGUUUUUAAAUCAAAUCUAAUCUAAUGGAACUUUUCAUUGGAUAGAUUGAUCUCAUUCAUGGCAAGAAUAAUGGCAAUAAUCUCUUUGCAAGAAUCAGAAAAAGGAACACACAAAGAGGUCGAAUUCGUACCCUAACUUGGCGACAAACUCGCUACGACGACAAGGGCAGUGAGAUUUCUGUUGACGGCGACGAAGUCCAGCGGCAGGAGGACGCUGGCGACAACGGAGACGAUCCGGAGACCAAGGGGCGACAGAGCUAGGAGGUGCGGACGAGUGGUUUGGAGGAGUUUCCAAAAUUUCAACCCAUGGUAUAUAUACCCAGUCACUGUCGGUGUGACCGAGUGGAACGACUCGGUGGCACCGAGAUGCAAAACUGCUAGCCGUUACUACAACUCGGUGUGACCGAAUUGUUUAAAUCAGUUGCACCGAGGUGAAAACCUAGAUCAACUUAAUGAAUUCAGUAAGACCGAGUAUAAUGAAUCAGUCGGACCGAGAUGCAUUAAGAGGUUUUGGAAGUUUAAGCCCUUGACGGAUUGCUGGCUCUGAGUGCUCCUCACCCAGAGGGUCCAAAUUCGACUUGUUCAAGCUUUGUGACGUAGCAUGAUUAGAGUUUGAGACGAGAAAAGCAUAGAUAUCUAGAGGGAGUACUUAGGCAUUCUUGUCCAUCCAUUUCGCAAAAAGGAAAGGCAAACAAUCAAAGCAACAAAUGGAUGUCCUUUAAUAGAGAAAAUUAUGCAACCAACAUGCUCACACAAUAAGAUAGCAAAUGAAAUAUGGGGUAAAACAUGCACAAAACACUCUAGCAUCUAUCAAGCAAUUGGCGAUGACUAGGUCAUCUAUAUAUGAGUAUAUUGACUCGGUGGGACUGGUAUGAUCAACUCGGUGGGACCGAUGUGCUAGGGCUAGGGCAAAACCUCAUCUCGGUGAGACCAAUUGCAUAAACUCGGUGAGACUGAUUUAAACAAUGAGCAAACAUAAAGUUGGUCAAGCAAACUCGGUCGGACUGAACGCUCAUUUUGGUGAGACUAAAAUGUUACGAAGGGAAACAGAUAGUUUGCAAUGCGAACUCGGUGGGACGGAUCGCUCCGGUGAGACCAAAACAUUACGAAGGGAAAUAGAGAGUUUGCAAUGCCAUCUCGGUGAGACCGAGAGCCUUAUCGGUGAGACCAAAUUGUCUAGGGUUUCUGGCAGUGACUAUGUUAACAGAACUCGGUGGCGCCAGAUAGAACAAAUCGGUGGGGCCGAGUUUGACUUCAAGUGGCUGAGGGUUUUGGAGCAAUAUCACUAAGCACUUUGAGCAAGUAGACCAUUAAGCAACACCUCAUCCCCUUUUAAUAGUAUUGGCUUUCCUAUGGACUCAAUGUGAUUUUGGAUCACUAAAAUGAAAAUGAAGAGUCUUGAGCCUUUGCCAAUCUUUGUCCUUAGCAUUUUGAGGGGUCCACAUCUCUAGUCCAUGCCACGCCAAUCAUUGAACUUUCUGAAAUAUUUAACUUGAAUGGAUAUUAGUUCAAUGAGCUAUAUGUUGUUAUGAAUUACCAAAACCACCCGGGGAUUAGUUGCACUUUCAAACAUGUACCUCAAGUCCAGAUUCGCAACUCCGCGAUCUAACCGUACUUUAACAUUUGCUGCACCACUCCUCUUAUUAUCAAAAGUAUAUGGCCUUCCAGCAAAACCCAAAUCAGCUAGCUCACACACUUCCGGUGAAUCCCGAGAAGCAAGCAUUUGGGCCGGCGCACACGGCGUGUUGGAAAAAUGUUCAAAAUCCCACAAUGGUUCAUUAAAAUCUCCAACAGCCAACCAAGGAAGAUCAUUCUGGGUAGCUAUAUCUUCCAUCAAGGACCACAUGAAGUGUCCAUUCUCAACACGGGGCUCUCCAUACACGCAUGUCAGGUGCCAUUUAGUCUCUCCAGGAGCUUGGAUGUGUGCAUCAAUGCAUCUUGAAUUUGCAAGCCUAAUAUACACUGUCCAAUUUUCAUGCCAAUAGAGAGCAAGCCCCCCACUAUUACCAUCACUACUAACACCUUCAAAACCUCGCAGACCAAACCUAUCUCAUUAGCUUUUCAUCUUAUCCUUACUUUGCCUAGUUUCGCAAAGGAAAACUAGGCUAGAGGAAUGCGACUAGAUCAUAGUCGCUAGGCCUCGAACUGUCUGGGAGUUCCCCCACCCCCCGGUAGUUCCAACUUAGGAUAGUCAUUGCCCCCGGCGGUCCUCCACCAUGAAGGCCACUGAUCUUCUGGUUGUUGUACUGUCAAUUGCCAUACCAUUUCCUCCUUUUAGCUUCUUUUUAUUCACAUUUUUCUGUGGCAUUCCAGUUAUGUUAUUAUUCAGUAGCUCCUCUCCUAGUGCCUCAAACUGAUCAAUAAUAAGAUAAGUAUCUCCCAAAGGAACAAUUGCACCGCUAUUCAUUUCAAAGACAUCCGCUACAGCAGAACCUGUAGGAAGGGGGCCUGAGUCCUCUGCGUCUCUUUUACGAAGGACAUUAAGAUCAUCCUUUUGCUGUUCUUUCUCUACACCGAGCUCAGACACUCCGUCGGUCUCCAUUUUGAAGUAGAGUUUGCAUCAUCCAACUAUCACAUACACCACCAUGCCGAUGAUGAACAACAUACCGUGGACAAUUUGUUCUCACGACAUACUGGUGUUCGGUCCAAUUGGAUCACAUUGGGUUGUUUAGUUGCCAUGUAUGUGUGCACUGGUGCACAUGCUAAUUAUACCAUUGUAACUUCUCCAUGUAAUAUUUAUUUAUCUCGCUGUCUUCAUCAACAAAUUCAACAAUAUAUAUCUAAGAAGUCAAAUGAAAUGAAUAUCAUACCAUCAUGAUUGAGUCACAACUGUUGCCGGCAUGAAGAUCUGCAAUGCUAGAGUAUUUUCUUGAUCCACCUUUGGUGCCGGAUAAGACAAGUAGUAUGGGUCGGAUGGAGUAGCACAUAUGUUGAUGCAAAGUUGGAUGGAAAUGACAUACCUUGGUUUAGAAAGAACACUCUCAACAUAGGAUCCAGUCUUCAUUCGUGUGUCUACACGUUGGAUCUUUCCAAUCUACACUUCUGUUCGUCGGCGACAUGUGCUGUUCUGGUGUGCUGGUUCUACGACUUCCUGACUAUCUGCUACGACAAGGUUUGCCAAACUUCCGUGAAGGAGGGACGAUGACGAUGGUGCGCCACCAUCUAUUUGCACUAGUGCUUGUAGUCAUCGCUAUGUGAUCUACAAACAAGAAUGUAAUUUCAAUUGUUUCUUGUGUUUUUUGUAUCACCAUGAUUGUUUUUUUUGAAUUGUUUGGAUUGCUUACCACAUGUGUCACGUGGUGUAUCGCCAUGAUGUUUGAUGAAAAGAUUGGAAGAUUUUCCCAAAAAGAAAAAUAAAAGAAUCCAUUCUCCACGUAGGAUAGGGGCUGGACUAAGACUGCUUGGCAAAUGUGCCAGCUAUCAAACUAAAUUCCCAAAGGGAAAAAAUCAUGCAAUUACAAAAAGCAAGAGUGACUCUUCUGCCAUGCACAUGUUAUACCAUGCAUGCAUUUAUAGUCCAUUUUUGCUCUUAGAUUUGUGCCAUGUUUUUUAGGCAAUUAUGUCUUGUUUAGCUCAGGUUCAAUGUUAUUGUGAUUGGACUUAUCCCUUUGUCUGUCCUCCCAAGCGAAUAUGCGACUAGGUUUCCCGCUUACAGUCGUCGCAUCGCCGAUCCUGUCUUGUCUCAUGUUGCCUUAGUAUCAUGAGGUGUGGUGGAUCCAUGCCCUUGCCGGCGGGAGGGCUUUGUUUUUAGAUGUUUCUUUGAGUUUUGUUAGGGUUUGUGUCAUGUGUGGUGGAAGGCCGGACGACGAUGACUCCUGAAGACGGAAUAAAGUUCUCCCCGCCUAGCCCCCGUCCCUAUGGUGCGUCUAGCAUCGUCGAAGAGCGUGUAGAGGUGUGUCUCCGUCAUAUCUCACGGGGUUUGGUCAUGGUUGUUUUUGGUGAAUCAGCUCAAACCAGGUCUUUGUUCAUCUAUAUUCUUGUGUCUUCAAGUUGGAUCCUUUUGAUCUUAGUUUAUUUUCAUCGGCGGUGAUUGCUGUUAUGGUCCUAUUGGGUCUUAGCACGACAACUUUCCGGCUAUCUACUACAACAAAUUUUGCACGGCUUCGACGAGUGCGGGGCGAUGAUGGUGCCGCGUCUUAGUCGUCGUUAGAUGAUCUACAAAUUUAAAUUAAAUUUUUGUUACUUUUGAUGUUCUUUAUACUAUCAUGAUUGCAACUAGUAGAUCGGAAGUUUUCUAUAGAAAAAUUAGCCGGCCUUGAUGAAUAAAAUAAAAUGCCAAGAGGGCGGUGUUAAAGAGAAAGAAAGAAAGAGAAAAUGCACCGUGAGGCCACAACACGACACGUGUACCCGGUCUAGACCACUCCCCCUUUCUUUCGUUCGGCCCUCGCAGGCCUCCUCGGGUUACCUUUGCCUAAAUCACCAUUUUCAUCAGAAACUUAAUUUGGAUCCAUCUCUUCUCUUCUCCCGUCGCCUCCGAACCCUAGCUAGCUACCUCGGUCCAGUCCGGCUGCGAGAGGCCACCGGCGGCAUGGCUGCGUGCGGCGGCGGAGCAUAGCACGCGAUGCGACCGCUCUAAUCGGAUCCAAUCGAAUCCCGCCGCACCGCCCGCCCCGCUCGCCGUGGCCGAUGACCGCGUCCCUCCCCAAACGGCGGCGAUGAUGGAGGGAGCCGCCGGCGCCGGCCGGGCUCCCGACCGGCCGACGCGCCGGGUCGCCGCUCCUCGGGCCCAGCCCCUCCCGCCGCGCCGUCACGCAUCGGCUCGGGGGCCCCCCUCGGGGAUGCCGCCUGUGCGGGAGGCGUCCGCAGCGGCGCGGGCUGGGGACCGGGCGGCGGGGCCCGUGGUGCGCUCCGGUCGAGGGCUUGGUCGGGCCUGGCGCGGGAUCUGAGCCGCCGUCGAUGGAUUUUUGGCCAGCUUGGCUGCAUCUUGCUUUCGAUUCGGUACUAUCCCCAUCUCUCUCUCUCUCAGACUCGCACUCGCUCACUCUGUGUGUGCUCGCGCGCGCAGAGUUGACACCAGUUAACCCUAACCCGAAACCAAAUCAGGCGAGCUCUCGUUGCCGGAUCGCUGACCCAUCGUCCCGGUGGCCGCUGCCUCAGUUCCACACCGCUACGGAGCCGCUAGCCACCGCCGUUCCAUUGCCUUGGAUUCGGUUGUGGCGUGGGCUGGAACCGUGCUCUGUUGUCUGAUGCGUCGUUCAAGCGGGAGGUUUGGUCGGCCGAGGCCAGGUAUGAGCAGCUCCUGAGCAGGAUGGAUGGAUGCAUUCAUGUGUCGUGAACUAAAACCACGACUCCUAUUUUGGAACGGAGGGAGUACAUUUUGGAACGGAGGGAGUAUGUAUGUAUGGAUAUCAUUGUCAUGUUGCUUGGUGUGGGGGUUGAACCUCCUUUUUUGGAAAAAAAAAGAGGAGCAAUGAUGAUGGUGAUGACGACGAUGGCUGAAAUAAUCAUGUCUUGAGCAAUCAAGACAGCCGUGGCGUGGUGGUACUAAACAGAGCUGAACAAAUCGGUGUCCGCGUUGGAGUUGGCCUUAGAGCCCACCCUUGCCUCUCUUGCAGCCUGUCCAAUUCAUUGCUGAUGUUGGUUGCUUUGUGCCUCGGAUGGUCAUUCUGUUGAGUGAUAACCAUGGCAGUUCUCUUACAUCGUGAUGGGUAGAUUAUGCAGCAAGAGAUGGUGAGGGUUUGGGCUUGAAGAUGGAAGACAAAACUGAGCCUCUUUUGCUAUGCUACAUAUACCCCCACCCCUCUACCUCUAACCCUAAGCCAAAUCAGUCGAGCUCUCAUUGCCAACUCGCUGUCCAAUCGUCUGGGUGGUGCCCUCUUCAGUUCACUGCUGCGGUGCUGCCAGCCUCUGCUGUUCCAUUGCCUUGGAUUUGGCUGUGGCGUGGGCUGGGAACCGUACGGUGUAAUCUGGGGCGUCAUCAGGUCUGGUUGGUCGGUCCAGGCCAGGCAUGAGUAGCUCCUGAGGCUGAUGGGGAUGGAUGGAUGGACAUGUGCAUGCAUGUAAAUUCACUCAUUUUGCUCCGUAUGUAGUCCAUAUUGGAAUCUCUAAAAGGACUUAUAUUUAGAAACGGAGGGAGUAUGAUCUAAAUGCUCUUAUAUUUGUUUACAGAGGGAGUAUGUAUGUAUGUAUGGAUAUCAGGGUCAUCUUGCUUGGUGGGCAAACGCUGGGGGUACAACCUCCUUUUCGGUAAAAAAAUGAGGGGCGAUGAUGAUGACUGUGGCCGAAAUAAGCAUGUCUUGAGCAAUCAAGACAGCUGUGGCCUGUGGGUACUAAGUUAGAGCCCACCUCCCUUGCAGCAUGUUCAAUUCAUCGGUAAUGUUGGAUGUUCUUCACCUCGGACGGUCAUUCUGAUAAGUGAUAACCAGGGCAGUUCUCUUACAUUGUGAUGGGUAGAUUAUGCAGCAAGAGAUGUGACUGUUGGGUUUGAAGAUGAAAUGCAAAACUGAGCCCUCUUUUUCUUACGAUCCUUAUUUCCCCUCUCUCUACAACAACAACAACAACAACAACAACAACAAAGCCUUUAGUCCCCAACAAGUUGGGGUAAGCUAGAGGUGAAACCCAUAAGAUCUCACGCCAACUCAUGGCUCUGGCAAAUGGAUAGCAAGCUUCCACGCACCCCUGUCCAUAACUAGUUCUUUGGUGAUACUCCAAUCCUUCAGGUCUCUCUUAACGGACUCCUCCCAUGUCAAAUUCGGUCUACCCCGACCUCUCUUGACAUUCUCCUCACGCUAUGCACUGGAGCUUCUGGGGGCCUGCGCUGAAUAUGCUCAAACCAUCUCAGACGAUGUUGGACAAGCUUCUUUUCNNNNNNNNNNNNNNNNNNNNNNNNNNNNNNNNNNNNNNNNNNNNNNNNNNNNNNNNNNNNNNNNNNNNNNNNNNNNNNNNNNNNNNNNNNNNNNNNNNNNNNNNNNNNNNNNNNNNNNNNNNNNNNNNNNNNNNNNNNNNNNNNNNNNNNNNNNNNNNNNNNNNNNNNNNNNNNNNNNNNNNNNNNNNNNNNNNNNNNNNNNNNNNNNNNNNNNNNNNNNNNNNNNNNNNNNNNNNNNNNNNNNNNNNNNNNNNNNNNNNNNNNNNNNNNNNNNNNNNNNNNNNNNNNNNNNNNNNNNNNNNNNNNNNNNNNNNNNNNNNNNNNNNNNNNNNNNNNNNNNNNNNNNNNNNNNNNNNNNNNNNNNNNNNUUCCGGUUUCUAUGGUGCUGCCAGCCGCCGCCAGUCCAUUGCCUUGGAUUUGGUUGUGGCGUGGCUGGGAACCGUAAGGCGUGUCUGAUGCGUCAUCCACAUUGUGAGGUUUGGUCGGUCGAGGCCAGGUAUGAGCAGCUCCUGAGACUGUCUAAGUUACUCACCACUAUGACUAGCUAUGGUCAUGUUGCUUGGCCAUUUGACCCUUUUUUUUAAAAGAGAGGGGCGAUGAUGAUGCCUGUGGCUGAAAUAAUUAUGUAUUGAGCAAUCAAGACAGCCAUAAUAGGGGCCCCAAAUGGGUGCUGGCGUUGGAGAUGCCCGUAAGAGCUCACCCUUCUCUUGCAGCCUGUUCAAUUCAUGGCUAAUGUUGGAUGUUCUGCGCCUUGGAUGGUCAUUCUGAUGAGUGAUAACCAGGGCAGUUCAAUUACAUCGCGAUGGGUAGGUUAUGCAGCAAGAGACGUGUGUUGGGCUUCAAGAUGAAAGGCAAAACUGAGCCCUCUUGCUACGCUACAAAUACUCAGUUUUUCCUUCUCCACUGUACAUUGUUUUAAUUUUCUAUUCCUCUCUAUUGUGUUGAUGUGAGAUCCGGAUCUGGAUUGAUAUCUUCUCUUGGUGAUGAACCCAACCACCCUAGCUUUACUUGGGUUGGUUUCUAGUUGGCAUCGUUUUUGCCUUUCUAAUUGUACAUACUAUAUAUGUGUCAAACGGUUGCCCUUUUUUCCUCCAAUGCUUGUAGCUAUUGGCAGUUCUAUUCAACUAGUUAACGAGAAGCUAUUUUCUUGCUUAUCUUGUCCUUCCAGAUGCUUCUUCAAAGACAAAGUUUUGAUCUGUUAUGUCUCUGUUUUCUAUAAACUGAAGCUCAGAUUACCUUCGUAUUUGUUUUGGUC